GAGGGAAGUCUGGGCAUCCCUGCUUAGACUGCUGCCCCCAUGACCCGGCCCCGGAUAAGCGGAGCUGCAGACCUUUUCUGAAGAGCAGGGCUGAAGUCUUUAGGUGGUGAUGGUGUUUCCUCACGGACUGCUGUGAUUUACCGUGUGCACUGGGGCUUUUGGGAGUGGUGUAAGUUUGCAGUGUACGUAGAGUAAAGGCCUGUACGACCGGUCAUUUAGCCUAGGCUGCAGCUCCUUGUGUUGUCUUUUCUGGACCAUUUGUGUGAUUGUGGUUUUACAAGUGAAUGCAUUUUAGAUUUCCUUUGUCAUUACAUUCAAUAAACAGUGUUCCAUUUUUAUACCAGUA
Molecule: long non-coding RNA, 346 nt
Organism: Tachysurus fulvidraco (yellow catfish)
Lineage: Eukaryota; Metazoa; Chordata; Actinopteri; Siluriformes; Bagridae
Exons: 2
Source: RefSeq, a predicted model, not a curated record